Molecule: small nuclear RNA, 140 nt
Organism: Zalophus californianus (California sea lion)
Lineage: Eukaryota; Metazoa; Chordata; Mammalia; Carnivora; Otariidae
Gene: U4
Rfam family: U4 spliceosomal RNA
About the family: U4 small nuclear RNA (U4 snRNA) is a component of the major U2-dependent spliceosome. The structure of U4 snRNA from yeast and human has been reported.
Source: Ensembl
AGCUUUGCGCAGUGGCAGUAUCGUAGCCAAUGAGGUUCAUCCGAGGCGCGAUUAUUGCUAAUUGAAAGAUCAUAUGUAUAGAGACAAUAUAAUACCAUGGGAAGAUGCUUAUAAUAGAAUAUAAAAUGAGUUUAAAAACC